RNAcentral lists this long non-coding RNA (2671 nucleotides) under Musa acuminata (dwarf banana). Its description in RNAcentral is "long non-coding RNA (MACU_LNC006687)". Lineage: Eukaryota; Viridiplantae; Streptophyta; Magnoliopsida; Zingiberales; Musaceae. The record is from RNAcentral.
AACAACAUCAACAAUAAUAAUGAUUUCUAAGGUACACUAAUAAUAAUGUUCUGCUGUACAGUGAUAAGGUUACAAAAUAUGAAAGAAUUUUUUGUGUGAUGCAACUAAAAUACAGUAUAUAGAUGUUGUAUUAAUGACAAUGUAUCUCCAAGGCUGAUAGCAGGUGGAGGAUUCUACCUCAAUUCACCACCAAAAAAAGCUUUGCCAACUGGUGUACUUUAAAUCAUGGUCUGCAGUACCGGACCGUACCACCCGAUAUGGGCGGUACAUACCGGUCCGACCGGCUUCCGGUACGCAGACCAUCUGUUACCGGUCCGACACUGUAGUAGCACUGUAGUAGUGCUACAGUGAUACGGUAUUGCGGACCUUGCUUUAAAUACCGCUCUCCUGCCCACCUUAGAGUUCUCUUUUGAGACUUCAUAAGCCUCUGAUGCCCUACAGAAUGAUGAUCAAGUUGCUUUUCAGUGGAUAAUAAGGUAUCAUUAAGGAGUUCGUUAAAAGAUACACAACUGCAUUACACAUUGGUAGAUAAUACCAUUUCAAUUCUGUAAUUUAACACUAAAUUUUAAGGUUUUUAAGUAUUGAGUUUGUCAGCAUAUUAAAACAACAAUGGUCAAAUAAUACGUCGAUGCAUAUUGAAUUUGGACACAUAACCACCAUUUGUGUCAUCAAAGUGAGAAAGCAGUGGGUAGUGGAUAGGUUCUUGACAGAAAAAUUACAACCAUUGCUUUAUCUACCCUCCUUCCAUCAGAAAAUGGGGGGAAAAAAUGAAAUCUAAAGAACUUGGGAUGAAUCAAGAUAAGGGAAAUGAUAAGACAGGAGUUCAGCAGCAAGAAAAAACAAAAGAGAAAAUUAGGAUGAAGCAACAAACACAAAACAGAAAUAGGAAAAGCAAGAAAGUAAUCUGAAGUAAUGGUGAUCGGUUCAAAAGGUAAUACAUGAAAGACAGUACUGAAAUCAUAACUUCAGCUAACAUGAGGUCCAAUAAAUUAAAGUCAUGGUUUGGGAGCCCACUGUCGCUUAUAAGGUGCCAAGGUUUCUUCACAACAGAUACUUGACAUGGAUCCUCAAUUGAUGAAGAAGCAUGAGCAUGGCAAUCCUCCUCUAGUAAUAUAAUCGGUUAGUAAAUAAGAAAUAAUAUUAAACUGAAUUCCAGAUAACAGUGUCCAAAGAAAGAACCUUCUAACGAAAACUCUCAUAGUUUCUUUAAAAGCCCUUCUAAAUUAAAGAAAAAGCUCUCAUAUUUUCUUCCUUCGACAACCAUGUCUUCUAUUCUUUUACCUUAUCAUUUACCAUGUACCCAGCCCACUUAAGAGGACGAACAAACCGAGCUGCAAAACGACAGGCAUCGCCAGCAGCAGAUCAACAAUCCACAAGUUUUAGCUAUCAAAAUAUCCAAAAGAACUUACUUUAGAAUGUCUGUAAACGCACCAUAAGAAAACCAUAACUCAGUUUCCAGGUCCGGUUGUGAACACCGAUGUACUGUAGGUGAGCCUACUACCUUUCACACAAGGACAGCCAUUACCGCCGAAAUGUGUGAAUGGCUAACAAAUCACCAGCUUACUUUCCUUUAGCUGCCAAUGUGAUGUGCCCUUAGAACAACCUCUCCCAAUCCAAAUACAUAAACAUCUUUAAGCCCCAUACUCUUUUCCUCAGCCAACUAUAAUAACUAAAGGCAUCCUAAAGUCGUACAGAAACUAACUAGGCAUCAAAUUAAACAUAGAAUGUCACCCUUGGCUAAUUGACUAUCAUAUGUUCCAGGGUACAAAAGGAGCUAAGCAAAUGCAAACAUCAAAGUAGAGUAGCUAAAAUGAUAUCAUUCAUUGAAGAAGAACAACAGCCACUAUAAAAGAAUUUACUGUUCCCAUUGUAUAAUUACUGGAGACAUCAAACUUCAAAUUUGUUUCCAUUUUUUUCUUAGGGAACUGUUCUUCAAUUUUCCAAUGUUAGUGAAUGCGUCUGAAAAGAAACCGCAAUCAAAAGUUACCUCAAAGGACGCAAACACAUAGUUACUAUCGGUGUGCUUACUGACCAUUCACACAAAGAUUACAGCCAUUACAGCUGCGAGGGUGUGACUGGCUAAUUGGCCACCGGCAUAAACUCUCUCAUAGCUCCGAUUUCGGAAGAGACCUUUAUCGAAAUAGCAAUGAAGUGAUAGCAUGAAGCUAAUACCUCGCUCCUCCCAUUGGAAGCCACCUUAUCCAAACGCUGUCGCAAAGCCCAAGUCUUCAGCCGCACUGCAUAACAACAGAGAAGGAAAGAAGUCAAGCAUUUCGCCUACCUCGUCUUGCUCAAGGUUCGCAGAUCCAGUUUCGCCAUCUCGGAACCCUAAGUGGCGAAAGACCAUGAUGACGGGGAUUGAUCGCCUGAAGGAACUCCUCGACGGUGGUGGCGGCGAGGAAGAUCGAAGGCCUCGUCUCCAUGUCGAAGGGAAAUUGGCCGGCGAAGGUCGAGAAGAGAGAUAGGGUUUCAAGCAUUCAUCGAGAGAUUCGAACCGUUGGAUGCUUCAGUCAGUAGACGUGUUGUCCAUCGGACGGGUGCUUAUGCGACGGAUAGAGGUCCGCAUACAACCGUUGUGCGGUCCCAUUCCCCCAAAUGGUCGACGGAUAAACCCUACGCCAGAUUAAAAUCAGAUGUGGUAGUCGAUAGAGGUCCGCUCUCUCCGCUGCCC